UUGGUUCUUUUUUGGUUUAAAACGUAAUCCAAUGCAUAGCAGUUGAAUUUAAAGAUAUAAAAAUAAAAAGAUAUAAAAAAAUAAAAAAGAUAUAAAAAUAAAGAUAUUUUUAAAGAUAAAGUAUCAUUGCGGAAAGGGACUUUUCUGGAUAGCUUUGAAAACUCGGAGGUGGAGGCAGAAAGUGGCGUUUUCCCAUUGAAACCUGCUGAGAAAUAAUAAGUCUACCAGAUCUGGGUCAACAAAUCCAGAUGAUUCCCCCCUAAACGAUCCAGGAGAUCUAGAGUUUGUCCAGAUUAGAUAAGAUUACAAUGUUUCCGGAACUUCGAAAACCGCAAUAUCGGUGCUGAGAUAGCCAAGAAUGCGUAGGAGUUUUAUGUCCAGCCUUCAAUAUUAGUAUUGCACAUCCCAAAGAGAUGGCAAUUAAUUUGCAAAGAUAGGGCUUAUUCUACAUUUCCUGUUCCAAGAAGGCAACACGACUGCACAUGCUUAGUUGCUUUGUGUUUCAUUGAUUUCAUUGUGAAUACUCUGUUUUCUUUUAAUAUGAAGAAUAAAUGAAGAAUAUGAAAAGCAAACUCAGCAAGAGAAGAAUGAAAAGAACUGCAACAUUUCAACACAUUUCAACAACCAGUAAGCAAACCAUCCCACUAUGAAAAGACCGG
Molecule: long non-coding RNA, 659 nt
Organism: Ahaetulla prasina
Lineage: Eukaryota; Metazoa; Chordata; Lepidosauria; Squamata; Colubridae
Exons: 4
Source: RefSeq, a predicted model, not a curated record